RNAcentral lists this ribosomal RNA (503 nucleotides) under uncultured bacterium. RNAcentral's name for it is "partial 16S ribosomal RNA". It matches the Rfam family "Bacterial small subunit ribosomal RNA", at positions 30 to 523 of the family's 1533-position model. The record is from RNAcentral.
AUUGAACGCUGGCGGCAGGCUUAACACAUGCAAGUCGAGCGGGGUGAUGGUGCUUGCACUAUCACUUAGCGGCGGACGGGUGGGUAAUGCUUAGGAAUCUGCCUAUUAGUGGGGGACAACAUCUCGAAAGGGAUGCUAAUACCGCAUACGUCCUACGGGAGAAAGCAGGGGAUCACUUGUGACCUUGCGCUAAUAGAUGAGCCUAAGUCGGAUUAGCUAGUUGGUGGGGUAAAGGCCUACCAAGGCGACGAUCUGUAGCGGGUCUGAGAGGAUGAUCCGCCACGCUGGGACUGAGACACGGCCCAGACUCCGACGGGAGGCAGCAGUGGGGAAUAUUGGACAAUGGGGGGAACCCUGAUCCAGCCAUGCCGCGUGUGUGAAGAAGGCCUUAUGGUUGUAAAGCACUUUAAGCGAGGAGGAGGCUCUUUUGGUUAAUACCCAAGAUGAGUGGACGUUACUCGCAGAAUAAGCACCGGCUAACUCUGUGCCAGCCGCCGCCGUAA